RNAcentral lists this long non-coding RNA (213 nucleotides) under Elaeis guineensis (African oil palm). RNAcentral's name for it is "long non-coding RNA (EGUI_LNC016090)". Lineage: Eukaryota; Viridiplantae; Streptophyta; Magnoliopsida; Arecales; Arecaceae. The record is from RNAcentral.
ACCUUGGCAGCUGCUCUCUGAUCUCCAUCAGCACUUGAGUUUUUGGAGCAUUGAGAGGGGCAUAGCUGUGGAAUCUUCCUGGGUGAGAGCUCUGUUGAACUCUGUGGUCCGGGCUUCUCAGCCUACGAGCUUAGGGGGGAGUUCGGACACGCUUGUGUGGGGGGAGUUUGAGAACGCGGUCGAACUUCACUCGGCCCUUUUUCAGCUGCGGGC